Molecule: ribosomal RNA, 416 nt
Filed under: uncultured Lachnospiraceae bacterium
Lineage: Bacteria; Bacillati; Bacillota; Clostridia; Lachnospirales; Lachnospiraceae
Description: bacterial SSU rRNA
Rfam family: Bacterial small subunit ribosomal RNA
Source: RNAcentral
CAGCAGUGGGGGAUAUUGCACAAUGGGGGAAACCCUGAUGCAGCGACGCCGCGUGAGCGAUGAAGUAUUUCGGUAUGUAAAGCUCUAUCAGCAGGGAAGAAAAUGACGGUACCUGACUAAGAAGCCCCGGCUAACUACGUGCCAGCAGCCGCGGUAAUAUGUAGGGGGCAAGCGUUAUCCGGAUUUACUGGGUGUAAAGGGAGCGUAGACGGCGGUACAAGUCUGAAGUGAAAGGCAUGGGCUCAACCUGUGGACUGCUUUGGAAACUGUAGUGCUAGAGUGUCGGAGAGGCAAGUGGAAUUCCUAGUGUAGCGGUGAAAUGCGUAGAUAUUAGGAGGAACACCAGUGGCGAAGGCGGCUUGCUGGACGAUGACUGACGUUGAGGCUCGAAAGCGUGGGGAGCAAACAGGAUUAGA